This 308-nucleotide ribosomal RNA is filed under the name uncultured cyanobacterium. RNAcentral's name for it is "bacterial SSU rRNA". It matches the Rfam family "Bacterial small subunit ribosomal RNA", at positions 157 to 488 of the family's 1533-position model. The record is from RNAcentral. Lineage: Bacteria; Bacillati; Cyanobacteriota.
UGAAUGCUAAUACCCAUAUGCCUUUGAGUGAAAUGGAUUUAUAUUUAUCUGCCUAAAGAGAAGCUCGCGGCUGAUUAGCUUGUUGGUAAGGUAAGAGCUUACCAAGGCGACGAUCAGUAUCUGGUUUGAGAGGACGAUCAGACACACUGGAACUUAGACACGGUCCAGACUCCUACGGGAGGCAGCAGUGGGGAAUUUUCCGCAAUGGGCGAAAGCNUGACGGAGCAAUACCGCGUGAGGGAAGACUGCCUAUGGGNNGUAAACCUCUUUUUUCAGGGAGGAAUAAAAUGACGUGUACCUGAAGAUAA